CCUACGGGUGGCAGCAGUCGAGAAUCAUUCACAAUGGGGGAAACCCUGAUGGUGCGACGCCGCGUGAAGGAAGACGGUUUUCGGAUUGUAAACUUCUGUUCUUAGUGAAGAAUAAUGACGGUAGCUAAGGAGCAAGCCACGGCUAACUACGUGCCAGCAGCCGCGGUAAUACGUAGGUGGCAAGCUGUGUCCGGAAUUACUGGGUGUAAAGGGAGCGCAGGCGGGAAGCCAAGUCAGCUGUGAAAACUACGGGCUUAACUUGUAGACUGCAGUUGAAACUGGUUUUCUUGAGUGAAGUAGAGGUUGGCGGAAUGCGGGGUGUAGCGGUGAAAUGCGUAGAUAUUCGGAGGAACACCGGUGGCGAAGGCAGCCAACUGGGCUUUAACUGACGCUGAGGCUCGAAAGUGUGGGGAGCGAACAGGAUUAGAUACCCCUGUAGUC
This 441-nucleotide ribosomal RNA is filed under the name uncultured bacterium. RNAcentral describes it as "partial 16S ribosomal RNA". It matches the Rfam family "Bacterial small subunit ribosomal RNA", at positions 338 to 795 of the family's 1533-position model. The record is from RNAcentral.